GACGAACGCUGGCGGCGUGCCUAAUACAUGCAAGUUGAACGCUAAAGCUUUAACUGGUGCUUGCACCGACUUAAGUUUUUAGAGUAGCGGACGGGUGAGUAACACGUGGGUAACCUGCCCAUCAGAGGGGGAUAACACUUGGAAACAGGUGCUAAUACCGCAUAAUUCCUUUUACCGCAUGGUAAAAGGCUGAAAGGCGCUUCUGGUGUCACUGAUGGAUGGACCCGCGGUGCAUUAGCUAGUCGGUGGGGUAACGGCCUACCGAGGCGAUGAUGCAUAGCCGACCUGAGAGGGUGAUCGGCCACAUUGGGACUGAGACACGGCCCAAACUCCUACGGGAGGCAGCAGUAGGGAAUCUUCGGCAAUGGACGAAAGUCUGACGGAGCAACGCCGCGUGAGUGAUGAAGGCUUUCGGGUCGUAAAACUCUGUUGUUAGGGAAGAACAAGUGCUAGUUGAAUAAGCUGGCACCUUGACGGUACCUAACCAGAAAGCCACGGCUAACUACGUGCCAGCAGCCGC
RNAcentral lists this ribosomal RNA (520 nucleotides) under uncultured bacterium. Its description in RNAcentral is "bacterial SSU rRNA". It matches the Rfam family "Bacterial small subunit ribosomal RNA", at positions 28 to 518 of the family's 1533-position model. The record is from RNAcentral.